GACGAACGCUGGCGGCGUGCUUAACACAUGCAAGUCGAACGGAAAGGCCCUGCUUUUGUGGGGUGCUCGAGUGGCGAACGGGUGAGUAACACGUGAGUAACCUGCCCUUGACUUUGGGAUAACUUCAGGAAACUGGGGCUAAUACCGGAUAGGAGCUCCUGCUGCAUGGUGGGGGUUGGAAAGUUUCGGCGGUUGGGGAUGGACUCGCGGCUUAUCAGCUUGUUGGUGGGGUGGUGGCUUACCAAGGCUUUGACGGGUAGCCGGCCUGAGAGGGUGACCGGCCACAUUGGGACUGAGAGACGGCCCAGACUCCUACGGGAGGCAGCAGUGGGGAAUAUUGCACAAUGGGCGGAAGCCUGAUGCAGCAACGCCGCGUGCGGGAUGACGGCCUUCGGGUUGUAAACCGCUUUCGCCUGUGACGAAGCGUGAGUGACGGUAAUGGGUAAAGAAGCACCGGCUAACUACGUG
RNAcentral lists this ribosomal RNA (468 nucleotides) under uncultured bacterium. Its description in RNAcentral is "partial 16S ribosomal RNA". It matches the Rfam family "Bacterial small subunit ribosomal RNA", at positions 28 to 507 of the family's 1533-position model. The record is from RNAcentral.